Molecule: long non-coding RNA, 378 nt
Filed under: Sinocyclocheilus anshuiensis
Lineage: Eukaryota; Metazoa; Chordata; Actinopteri; Cypriniformes; Cyprinidae
Description: lncRNA (ENSSANG00000002231.1)
Source: RNAcentral
ACCACUCAGGAUGCAAACCGUUCCAACGGUCAGCGGUCUCUGUAAACGCAUCUAAUCGCAAACAAAUUCACACGAGCGUGACAGGCGUGGAAGCACCCACAUUAGGCUGCUGCAAAUUAAGAUACUUGAGAAAGACAGAGGUGGUUUACAGCAGUCAUGGCAGCCAUAGCAACUGUCCCUAACUACACCCCAUCGAUAUGGGUACGGUUAUGCCAUGCCAUUCCUCGCCUGGACUUGACCCUGCAGACCCGAGACAGCGUGUUCACUCCAAACAGCUGGGAGUAUCAGCAGACUCUUCUGGUCCUCUCCAGCUUCUCCGCCAUUGCUCUCGUCCUCUCGUUACUUGUAGUUCUCUCCUUCCUCAUCCACUACUGCUGC